CAGUCGAACGAAACUUCUUUAUCACCGAGUGCUUGCACUCACCGAUAAAGAGUUGAGUGGCGAACGGGUGAGUAACACGUGGGCAACCUGCCCAAAAGAGGGGGAUAACACUUGGAAACAGGUGCUAAUACCGCAUAACCAUAGUUACCGCAUGGUAACUAUGUAAAAGGUGGCUAUACUACCGCUUUUGGAUGGGCCCGCGGCGCAUUAGCUAGUUGGUAGGGUAAAGGCUUACCAAGGCAAUGAUGCGUAGCCGAAUUGAGAGGUUGAUCGGCCACAUUGGGACUGAGACACGGCCCAAACUCCUACGGGAGGCAGCAGUAGGGAAUCUUCCACAAUGGGCGAAAGCCUGAUGGAGCAACGCCGCGUGGGUGAAGAAGGUCUUCGGAUCGUAAAACCCUGUUGUUAGAGAAGAAAGUGCGUGAGAGUAACUGUUCACGUUUCGACGGUAUCUAACCAGAAAGCCACGGCUAACUACGUGCCAGCAGCCGCGGUAAUACGUAGGUGGCAAGCGUUAUCCGGAUUUAUUGGGCGUAAAGGGAACGCAGGCGGUCUUUUAAGUCUGAUGUGAAAGCCUUCGGCUUAACCGGAGUAGUGCAUUGGAAACUGGGAGACUUGAGUGCAGAAGAGGAGAGUGGAACUCCAUGUGUAGCGGUGAAAUGCGUAGAUAUAUGGAAGAACACCAGUGGCGAAAGCGGCUCUCUGGUCUGUAACUGACGCUGAGGUUCGAAAGCGUGGGUAGCAAACAGGAUUAGAUACCCUGGUAGUCCACGCCGUAAACGAUGAAUGCUAAGUGUUGGAGGGUUUCCGCCCUUCAGUGCUGCAGCUAACGCAAUA
Molecule: ribosomal RNA, 837 nt
Filed under: uncultured bacterium
Lineage: Bacteria
Description: bacterial SSU rRNA
Rfam family: Bacterial small subunit ribosomal RNA
Source: RNAcentral